UGCCCAGCUUCCGUAUGCAACACAGGCAGGCAGACCACGCACCCAACACUCCGCGACUCGGCCAAGGGGCCGCGACAUCAAGAAGGCAGGGCCAUCAGAAGGCACGGGAGGAACGGGGGGUUGAGCCCUCGGAUUUUGCUGCAUUGUCACGAACUAGGAAUGUAGGGGUAGGAGCAACUGCACCUCCAGCCAAAAAUGGACCGGACGCGUUUUUCCUGGCGGCGCCCUCCCCGCCCGUGUGCAGGUCUCAAUACGGGAGGAGAACCAUCAGAGGAGAGCCAGUGCAGAUCCCAGAUCUGGCCUCUGUCUUCUCCAGUCACAACCCGCCUUGGCUGUUUGGUGGAAGAGGUCACCCUGCUGCAUAAAG
This 367-nucleotide long non-coding RNA is filed under the name Ovis aries (sheep). RNAcentral's name for it is "lncRNA (ENSOARG00000025246.1)". Lineage: Eukaryota; Metazoa; Chordata; Mammalia; Artiodactyla; Bovidae. The record is from RNAcentral.